Molecule: long non-coding RNA, 1783 nt
Filed under: Pavo cristatus (Indian peafowl)
Lineage: Eukaryota; Metazoa; Chordata; Aves; Galliformes; Phasianidae
Description: lncRNA (ENSPSTG00000006103.1)
Source: RNAcentral
GGACGAAGCUCCCUUGCUCUACUGACCCAGGGGUCAGGUCCUGCCCCAAAAAGGGUGCGUAUUUGGGGUGGUUAGAGCCCCAUGUUCACCCUUCAAGGGGGAACGCAGUCAUAACCUUCCCCCCCAUCCAGGCAGGUCACUGAAGGCUCAAAGGAGGUGAGCCCACUUGGAUGAGAGGGAGCUACUUUUAUCAUUUAGUUAUCUCUAAACAUUCUCACAGAACUCUUCAUAUCAGCUUCACCACAUCUUGGGAGACUUAAAGCAGCCAUAAAAGCAUGACCCCAGCCACUCUGCAGAUCCUCCACAUGGUGAGAUGGCUUGUGUGGCUGCGGUUGCUACAGCAUCUAUUGACUACGGUCAGUGAGAACGCAAAAAGCCAGCCGAAACUCAGGCAACACUGGGACUCAAAGCUGCUCUCCUCCCCAAUGGCCUUGUUCCACUGGAUGACCCCUCCCACAAAACACCGCCAUUUUGUUAAGCGGGCAUUUCCCACACUACUGCAUUUCAGUACGUGCCACCAUCACCAUAACCAGCCUUAAACCUAAAUUUCAGAGAUCAAGAGAAAGGACUGACCAAAAGGAGAAAGGGUCACUGCCCCAUCAGCUAGAAUUUUGCUCCCCAAAGUCUUGAUGCAGUACUUAUUUCGAGAUUAGAAAAACGCAUUGCCUCCACUGCACAAAUAAAGAAAACUGCUUUUGGUUUCUAACAUUCACAUACAGUAGAUAAGCAAAAGUCCUGGAUUACGUGGAAAUAAAACCUGUACGGAGAAACAGGAUUAGGUCUACUUCCAUUUAACUGUUUUUAUGGUAUUUUAAAUGAGCAGCUGUGUUUCUGUAAGUAAACAUGAUACCACUGAACAUCUGUAUAAAAACUAAACAACAUACAGACUCCUUGAACUCUCUGGUAUAUAACUCUGNAAAGAAAAAAAAAAAAAGAAAAAAAAAGAGAGAUUUUAGGAUGUUGGGCUUGAAGGAAAUGGCAAAUAUUGUGAAACUAAGGAUAAAAUAGUUGACAGCUAUCAAUUCCAUUUGAUCACCCGCACAGCCAGUCGAAGGAUGUUUUCAUUAUAUGGAAACAGGCACACUAACCUCUAACACAGACACAUCCCUCCAAAAUCAUCUCCUUGGUAAAGUCAGGAAACUGGAAAUGCUAUAUUUAGUGCCUACCCUCUUCUCCAGGCCCAGACCCCUGCAGUCACCAAACUCUCCAGCAUGAGGGACAAGCUUUGCACAGAAUGCACCAGUGCCACUUGGAAAGGGACGAAGCUCCCUUGCUCUACUGACCCAGGGGUCAGGUCCUGCCCCAAAAAGGGUGCGUAUUUGGGGUGGUUAGAGCCCCAUGUUCACCCUUCAAGGGGGAACGCAGUCAUAACCUUCCCCCCCAUCCAGGCAGGUCACUGAAGGCUCAAAGGAGGUGAGCCCACUUGGAUGAGAGGGAGCUACUUUUAUCAUUUAGUUAUCUCUAAACAUUCUCACAGAACUCUUCAUAUCAGCUUCACCACAUCUUGGGAGACUUAAAGCAGCCAUAAAAGCAUGACCCCAGCCACUCUGCAGAUCCUCCACAUGGUAAGCCCCAUCUCAUUUGAUGGUCAGUCAGUCACCGACCAAGGCCCAGAGUUCCACAAAUCAUCAUCAAGAACAGAAGAGAGACGGGUUGAAAACCUCUGCCUCUGUUGAAAACCGUGGGUUUAUUUUCACAAAAAAAAAAAGAAGCUCAGUGGGCAGCAAGAAGCUCCUCCCGGGCACUGGAAACACCUGGUGAGCCUGGCUCUGUGCAGGCGUNG